Molecule: ribosomal RNA, 1434 nt
Filed under: uncultured bacterium
Lineage: Bacteria
Description: 16S ribosomal RNA
Rfam family: Bacterial small subunit ribosomal RNA
Source: RNAcentral
AGAGUUUGUUCCUGGCUCAGGAUGAACGCCGGCGGUGUGCCUAAUACAUGCAAGUCGUACGCACUGGCCCAACUGAUUGAUGGUGCUUGCACCUGAUUGACGAUGGAUCACCAGUGAGUGGCGGACGGGUGAGUAACACGUAGGUAACCUGCCCCGGAGCGGGGGAUAACAUUUGGAAACAGAUGCUAAUACCGCAUAACAACAAAAGCCACAUGGCUUUUGUUUGAAAGAUGGCUUUGGCUAUCACUCUGGGAUGGACCUGCGGUGCAUUAGCUAGUUGGUAAGGUAACGGCUUACCAAGGCGAUGAUGCAUAGCCGAGUUGAGAGACUGAUCGGCCACAAUGGAACUGAGACACGGUCCAUACUCCUACGGGAGGCAGCAGUAGGGAAUCUUCCACAAUGGGCGCAAGCCUGAUGGAGCAACACCGCGUGAGUGAAGAAGGGUUUCGGCUCGUAAAGCUCUGUUGUUGGAGAAGAACGUGCGUGAGAGUAACUGUUCACGCAGUGACGGUAUCCAACCAGAAAGUCACGGCUAACUACGUGCCAGCAGCCGCGGUAAUACGUAGGUGGCAAGCGUUAUCCGGAUUUAUUGGGCGUAAAGCGAGCGCAGGCGGUUGCUUAGGUCUGAUGUGAAAGCCUUCGGCUUAACCGAAGAAGUGCAUCGGAAACCGGGCGACUUGAGUGCAGAAGAGGACAGUGGAACUCCAUGUGUAGCGGUGGAAUGCGUAGAUAUAUGGAAGAACACCAGUGGCGAAGGCGGCUGUCUGGUCUGCAACUGACGCUGAGGCUCGAAAGCAUGGGUAGCGAACAGGAUUAGAUACCCUGGUAGUCCAUGCCGUAAACGAUGAGUGCUAGGUGUUGGAGGGUUUCCGCCCUUCAGUGCCGGAGCUAACGCAUUAAGCACUCCGCCUGGGGAGUACGACCGCAAGGUUGAAACUCAAAGGAAUUGACGGGGGCCCGCACAAGCGGUGGAGCAUGUGGUUUAAUUCGAAGCUACGCGAAGAACCUUACCAGGUCUUGACAUCUUGCGCUAACCUUAGAGAUAAGGCGUUCCCUUCGGGGACGCAAUGACAGGUGGUGCAUGGUCGUCGUCAGCUCGUGUCGUGAGAUGUUGGGUUAAGUCCCGCAACGAGCGCAACCCUUGUUACUAGUUGCCAGCAUUAAGUUGGGCACUCUAGUGAGACUGCCGGUGACAAACCGGAGGAAGGUGGGGACGACGUCAGAUCAUCAUGCCCCUUAUGACCUGGGCUACACACGUGCUACAAUGGACGGUACAACGAGUCGCAAGCUCGCGAGAGUAAGCUAAUCUCUUAAAGCCGUUCUCAGUUCGGACUGUAGGCUGCAACUCGCCUACACGAAGUCGGAAUCGCUAGUAAUCGCGGAUCAGCAUGCCGCGGUGAAUACGUUCCCGGGCCUUGCACUCACCGCCCGUCA